This 247-nucleotide ribosomal RNA is filed under the name Klebsiella sp. DNRA6. Its description in RNAcentral is "partial 23S ribosomal RNA". It matches the Rfam family "Bacterial large subunit ribosomal RNA", at positions 1414 to 1660 of the family's 2925-position model. Lineage: Bacteria; Pseudomonadati; Pseudomonadota; Gammaproteobacteria; Enterobacterales; Enterobacteriaceae. The record is from RNAcentral.
GUCGAUGGGAAACAGGUUAAUAUUCCUGUACUUGGUGUUACUGCGAAGGGGGGACGGAGAAGGCUAUGUUGGCCGGGCGACGGUUGUCCCGGUUUAAGCAUGUAGGCGGAUGUUCCAGGUAAAUCCGGAACGUUAUUAACGCUGAGGUGUGAUGACGAGGCACUACGGUGCUGAAGUGACAAAUGCCCUGCUUCCAGGAAAAGCCUCUAAGCAUCAGGUAACAUCAAAUCGUACCCCAAACCGACAC